AAGUAGUUGGUUUGUAUGAGAUGGUU
Molecule: non-coding RNA, 26 nt
Filed under: Pan troglodytes (chimpanzee)
Lineage: Eukaryota; Metazoa; Chordata; Mammalia; Primates; Hominidae
Also listed under: 3 other names
Source: miRBase by way of RNAcentral